AUUGGAAUGAGUACAAUGUAAAUACCUUAACGAGGAACAAUUGGAGGGCAAGUCUGGUGCCAGCAGCCGCGGUAAUUCCAGCUCCAAGAGCGUAUAUUAAAGUUGUUGCAGUUAAAAAGCUCGUAGUUGAAUUUUGGGGUGGCCCCAGAAGGUCCACUUAUUUGUGAGUACUUUUUGGGACCGCCCUUCCAUGGCUUAUCCCUCGGGGUGGGCCAUAAUUACUUUGAGUAAAUGAGAGUGUUCAAAGCAGGCAAGCGCUUGAAUCUUUUAGCAUGGAAUAAUAAAAUAGGACGAUGAUUCUAUUUUGUUGGUUUCUAGGACCAUCGUAAUGAUUAAUAGGGACGGUCGGGGGCAUUAGUAUUCAGUUGUAAGAGGUGAAAUUCUUAGAUUUUCUGAAGACUAACUACUGCGAAAGCAUUUGUCAAGGACGUUUUCAUUAAUCAAGAACGAAAGUUAGGGGAUCGAAGAUG
This 470-nucleotide ribosomal RNA is filed under the name Metschnikowia australis. Its description in RNAcentral is "SSU rRNA". It matches the Rfam family "Eukaryotic small subunit ribosomal RNA", at positions 508 to 1006 of the family's 1831-position model. The record is from RNAcentral. Lineage: Eukaryota; Fungi; Ascomycota; Pichiomycetes; Serinales; Metschnikowiaceae.